ACGGGGCGCAGCAGGCGAGAAACCUUUGCAAUGUGCGAAAGCACGACAAGGUUAAUCCGAGUNNNNNNUGNNNNNNGAGUCUUUUGUCAGUUGUAGAAUCACUGGUGAAUAAGGGGUGGGCAAGUUCUGGUGUCAGCCGCCGCGGUAAAACCAGCACCUCGAGUGGUCAGGAGGUUUAUUGGGCCUAAAGCAUCCGUAGCCGGUUGCAUAAGUUUUCGGUUAAAUCUAUGCGCUUAACGUAUAGGCCGCCGAAAAUACUGUGCAGCUAGGGAGUGGGAGAGGUACACGGUACUCGAUAGGAAGGGGUAAAAUCCUUUGAUCUAUUGGUGACCACCUGUGGCGAAGGCGGUGUACCAGAACACGUUCGACGGUGAGGGAUGAAAGCUGGGGGAGCAAACCGGAUUAGAUACCCGGGUAGUCC
This 421-nucleotide ribosomal RNA is filed under the name uncultured archaeon. RNAcentral describes it as "partial 16S ribosomal RNA". It matches the Rfam family "Archaeal small subunit ribosomal RNA", at positions 325 to 747 of the family's 1478-position model. The record is from RNAcentral.